This is a long non-coding RNA of Ylistrum balloti, 710 nucleotides long. RefSeq lists it as uncharacterized. Lineage: Eukaryota; Metazoa; Mollusca; Bivalvia; Pectinida; Pectinidae. The transcript has 3 exons. The record is from RefSeq and is a predicted model, not a curated record.
UGUAGCCUGGUCAAAACUGACACGGUCAAGCUUGUAACCUGGCCAAAUUGACACGGUCAAGCUUAUCCUCUGUCAGAACCGUUGGUUGUGUCAUAUGGCCAUACAUUUUACCGUUAUUGCUCUGGAGGGCAGGCAAUUGACCUCCCAAGUCAGUGAGGUAGUCAUGAACUACUUUAGGAAAACUUCCUACCUCAAAAUGACUGUUCACAGGCUGAAAAUCCCAGCAGACAAGCCAAAUAGUUCUUUAGAACAAAAUGGAAACCUUUUGCAGCUGAUCAUAAUUAUCUGGAAUGCAGCCAAACUGAUAAAUGUUUCUGGAGAUAAACUGGUGAUUUUAUAUACAAAAAUGUCCUAGUGAUGUAAGGCCAACUCACAAGAACAAAGUUUCAGCUGACUUACAAUCAAGCUACAUCAAGUAAGAAUCAGAAGCCACGGUGGAUUAUCAAGAUGCCACAGUGAAAUUUAUAAUUUUUUAGAGAUGAUGAUUCUCAGGAACAAACAGGUGUCCUUUUGGCACUUGAGAAAAUAUGUAAACAAAUGUCAAACAGUGUUCACACUAGGCAAUAUCCCUUCUUCCUGUAGACUGACCUGAUCAUUUCUGAAUUCUGUCAUUCGUGAUCUUGGAUGGUGAAGUGGAAGUAAUAAGAAACACCAGUGAAAAUAUAGAAAGAAAUGAAUCACUCAAAUAUUAAUGAAUAAAAGGCCUCACC